RNAcentral lists this ribosomal RNA (434 nucleotides) under uncultured bacterium. RNAcentral's name for it is "bacterial SSU rRNA". It matches the Rfam family "Bacterial small subunit ribosomal RNA", at positions 355 to 786 of the family's 1533-position model. The record is from RNAcentral.
UGAGGAAUAUUGGUCAAUGGGCGGGAGCCUGAACCAGCCAAGCCGCGUGAGGGAAGAAGGCGCUCAGCGUCGUAAACCUCUUUAGCCGGGGAACAAAGAGCUGCUCGGGAAGCAGCGUUGAGCGUACCCGGAGAAUAAGCAUCGGCUAACUCCGUGCCAGCAGCCGCGGUAAUACGGAGGAUGCGAGCGUUAUCCGGAUUUAUUGGGUUUAAAGGGUGCGCAGGCGGACGCGCAAGUCUGCGGUCAAAUUCCGGGGCUCAACCCCGGACCGCCGUGGAAACUGUGCGACUGGAGUGGGCGAGAGGCAUGCGGAAUGCGCGGUGUAGCGGUGAAAUGCUUAGAGAUCGCGCAGAACCUCGAUUGCGAAGGCAGCAUACCGGCGCCUUACUGACGCUCAUGCACGAAAGCGUGGGGAUCGAACAGGAUUAGAUACC